GUAUUAGCGCAGUGGCAGUAUCGUAGCCAAUGAGGUUAAUCCGAGGCGCGAUUAUUGCUAAUUGAAAACUUUUCCCUAGUGCAAACUGACCAGGAACAGGGUCCUGUCAACUACUGCCCCCUAUGUUGUGG
Molecule: small nuclear RNA, 131 nt
Filed under: Alligator mississippiensis (American alligator)
Lineage: Eukaryota; Metazoa; Chordata; Crocodylia; Alligatoridae
Description: U4 spliceosomal RNA
Rfam family: U4 spliceosomal RNA
About the family: U4 small nuclear RNA (U4 snRNA) is a component of the major U2-dependent spliceosome. The structure of U4 snRNA from yeast and human has been reported.
Source: Rfam by way of RNAcentral